Molecule: non-coding RNA, 114 nt
Organism: Coniochaeta sp. 2T2.1
Lineage: Eukaryota; Fungi; Ascomycota; Sordariomycetes; Coniochaetales; Coniochaetaceae
Source: the annotation of a GenBank genome assembly
GGCCUUGUGGUUUAGAGGUAUAAUUCUCGCUUCGGGAAAAUUCAAAAACUUCCCGGUCUUCUUCUGAAGAUCUGAAUAUGUGAGAGGUCCCGGGUUCGAAUCCCGGCAAGGCCC